Molecule: ribosomal RNA, 253 nt
Filed under: uncultured bacterium
Lineage: Bacteria
Description: partial 16S ribosomal RNA
Rfam family: Bacterial small subunit ribosomal RNA
Source: RNAcentral
UACGAAGGGGGCUAGCGUUGCUCGGAAUCACUGGGCGUAAAGGGUGCGUAGGCGGAUCUUUAAGUCAGGGGUGAAAUCCUGGAGCUCAACUCCAGAACUGCCUUUGAUACUGAAGGUCUUGAGUUCGGGAGAGGUGAGUGGAACUGCGAGUGUAGAGGUGAAAUUCGUAGAUAUUCGCAAGAACACCAGUGGCGAAGGCGGCCUUCUGGACCAAUACUGACGCUCAUGCACGAAAGCGUGGGGAGCAAACAGG